GAUGCGUUGGUCAGAUAAUGUUUGACCCGUUGCAGUCGCAGCUGACAUGAGGUUGGAUAAGGUGACAAUGCCG
This 73-nucleotide microRNA precursor is filed under the name Xenoturbella bocki. Its description in RNAcentral is "microRNA xbo-mir-4907 precursor". Lineage: Eukaryota; Metazoa; Xenacoelomorpha; Xenoturbellidae. The record is from miRBase by way of RNAcentral.